RNAcentral lists this ribosomal RNA (400 nucleotides) under uncultured bacterium. Its description in RNAcentral is "partial 16S ribosomal RNA". It matches the Rfam family "Bacterial small subunit ribosomal RNA", at positions 355 to 774 of the family's 1533-position model. The record is from RNAcentral.
UGGGGAAUUUUGCACAAUGGGGGAAACCCUGAUGCAGCGACGCCGCGUGAUUUAGAAGGCCUUCGGGUUGUAAAAAUCUUUUGUAUAGGAAGAAAAUGACAGUACUAUACGAAUAAGGUCCGGCUAAUUACGUGCCAGCAGCCGCGGUAAUACGUAAGGACCGAGCGUUGUCCGGAAUCAUUGGGCGUAAAGGGUACGUAGGCGGCUAGAAAAGUUAGAAGUCAAAGGCUAUAGCUCAACUAUAGUAAGCUUCUAAAACUAUUUAGCUUGAGAGAUGGAAGGGAAAGUGGAAUUCCUAGUGUAGCGGUGGAAUGCGCAGAUAUUAGGAGGAAUACCGGUGGCGAAGGCGACUUUCUGGCCAUUUUCUGACGCUGAGGUACGAAAGCGUGGGGAGCAAACA